AUGGGAGGUUACUUGAACUAAAAUUCCACCAGUCAUUUUUCAACAACCUUUAAUCCUUUUCCUCUCUUCAUCCUCAUCCUAAACUCUAACUUCAUGGUUCAAGCCCGUAAUCGUAAGGUCACAUGACAGUGGUUUUGCCAAUUAUGUCAUGGCUCUUUUUCAGAGCUUUUACUCACUGAGUGGGAUUGUAAUUGUUUUUUUUGUUGGCACAGAAUAAUGAUAGAGAGGUUUUAAAUUAUUCCCGUAUCAUAGGAUAUAUGGACCGUGAACUGCUGCUCAUCUUUCUUAACUUCAACCUAGUGUAGCGUUUCACUCCUUUUGCUUUCCAUGAACUGAGGUGGCACCAUCUACGAAAUUUUGCACCCCACCCCGGUGCAAUAUCUCAAGAAGUGAUUUCUCAACAGUAGUGCUGGCAAGAACCAUACUCGCCAAAUUUUUCACCAAGCCACAAUUUUUCCUGCAUGUUAAAAGUUGUUGCUCUUUAAUAGGCUAUAGCCUAUUCCUCAUCUAUUGCUGCUUCGGAGGAGAUUCUUGAAGACGUUGUUCUAAAGAUCGAAAUGGGAUCCCCGAGAAAACGAUUCUCGCAGAUAUCUCUCCCGAGGAUGUACCUCCGAAAGUAGAUUAGAUUUUUAGGUUGUUGCUCCCUGCUUCUUUAUUAUUUGUGUAAGGACCCCUCGUGGGAUUUUAUAAUCGUCUUUUAUCAAUAUAAAAGUUUCUUCG
Molecule: long non-coding RNA, 720 nt
Filed under: Nicotiana benthamiana
Lineage: Eukaryota; Viridiplantae; Streptophyta; Magnoliopsida; Solanales; Solanaceae
Description: long non-coding RNA (NBEN_LNC042004)
Source: RNAcentral